Molecule: ribosomal RNA, 487 nt
Filed under: uncultured bacterium
Lineage: Bacteria
Description: bacterial SSU rRNA
Rfam family: Bacterial small subunit ribosomal RNA
Source: RNAcentral
GACACGCUGGCAGCGUGCUUAAUACAUGCAAGUCGAGCGAGGUUACUGGAGUGGAGCCCUUCGGGGUGAAGCUGCUUUAACCUAGCGGCGGACGGGUGAGUAACGCGUGGGUAACCUACCCCAAAGCCCGGGAUAACAGCGGGAAACCGCUGCUAAUACCGGAUGACCUUACCUUGGGGCAUCUUGAGGUAAAGAAAGGUUAACGCUUUGGGAUGGGCCCGCGUCCCAUUAGCUAGUUGGUGAGGUAACGGCUCACCAAGGCGACGAUGGGUAGCCGGCCUGAGAGGGUGGACGGCCACACUGGGACUGAGACACGGCCCAGACUCCUACGGGAGGCAGCAGUAGGGAAUAUUGCGCAAUGGACGGAAGUCUGACGCAGCGACGCCGCGUGAGCGAUGAAGGCCUUCGGGUCGUAAAGCUCUGUCCUUGGGGAAGAAGGUCUUCGGACUUGACGGUACCCAAGAAGAAAGCCCCGGCUAACUACGUG